RNAcentral lists this ribosomal RNA (2374 nucleotides) under Staphylococcus aureus. RNAcentral describes it as "partial 23S ribosomal RNA". It matches the Rfam family "Bacterial large subunit ribosomal RNA", at positions 583 to 2925 of the family's 2925-position model. The record is from RNAcentral. Lineage: Bacteria; Bacillati; Bacillota; Bacilli; Caryophanales; Staphylococcaceae.
CUUUGGGGUGUGACUGCGUACCUUUUGUAUAAUGGGUCAGCGACUUAUAUUCUGUAGCAAGGUUAACCGAAUAGGGGAGCCGGAGGGAAACCGAGUCUUAAUUGGGCGUUAAGUUGCAGGGUAUAGACCCGAAACCCGGUGAUCUAGCCAUGGGCAGGUUGAAGGUUGGGUAACACUAACUGGAGGACCGAACCGACUAAUGUUGAAAAAUUAGCGGAUGACCUGUGGCUGGGGGUGAAAGGCCAAUCAAACCGGGAGAUAGCUGGUUCUCCCCGAAAGCUAUUUAGGUAGCGCCUCGUGAAUUCAUCUCCGGGGGUAGAGCACUGUUUCGGCUAGGGGGCCAUCCCGGCUUACCAACCCGAUGCAAACUGCGAAUACCGGAGAAUGUUAUCACGGGAGACACACGGCGGGUGCUAACGUCCGUCGUGAAGAGGGAAACAACCCAGACCGCCAGCUAAGGUCCCAAAGUCAUGGUUAAGUGGGAAACGAUGUGGGAAGGCCCAGACAGCCAGGAUGUUGGCUUAGAAGCAGCCAUCAUUUAAAGAAAGCGUAAUAGCUCACUGGUCGAGUCGGCCUGCGCGGAAGAUGUAACGGGGCUAAACUAUGCACCGAAGCUGCGGCAGCGACACUAUGUGUUGUUGGGUAGGGGAGCGUUCUGUAAGCCUGUGAAGGUGUGUCGUGAGGCAUGCUGGAGGUAUCAGAAGUGCGAAUGCUGACAUAAGUAACGAUAAAGCGGGUGAAAAGCCCGCUCGCCGGAAGACCAAGGGUUCCUGUCCAACGUUAAUCGGGGCAGGGUGAGUCGACCCCUAAGGCGAGGCCGAAAGGCGUAGUCGAUGGGAAACGGGUUAAUAUUCCCGUACUUGGUGUUACUGCGAAGGGGGGACGGAGAAGGCUAUGUUGGCCGGGCGACGGUUGUCCCGGUUUAAGCGUGUAGGUGUGUGUUCCAGGUAAAUCCGGUUCACUUUAACACUGAGGCGUGACGACGAGGCACUACGGUGCUGAAGCAACAAAUGCCCUGCUUCCAGGAAAAGCCUCUAAGCAUCAGGUAACAUCAAAUCGUACCCCAAACCGACACAGGUGGUCAGGUAGAGAAUACCAAGGCGCUUGAGAGAACUCGGGUGAAGGAACUAGGCAAAAUGGUGCCGUAACUUCGGGAGAAGGCACGCUGACACGUAGGUGAAGUGAUUUACUCAUGGAGCUGAAGUCAGUCGAAGAUACCAGCUGGCUGCAACUGUUUAUUAAAAACACAGCACUGUGCAAACACGAAAGUGGACGUAUACGGUGUGACGCCUGCCCGGUGCCGGAAGGUUAAUUGAUGGGGUCAGCGCAAGCGAAGCUCCUGAUCGAAGCCCCGGUAAACGGCGGCCGUAACUAUAACGGUCCUAAGGUAGCGAAAUUCCUUGUCGGGUAAGUUCCGACCUGCACGAAUGGCGUAAUGAUGGCCAGGCUGUCUCCACCCGAGACUCAGUGAAAUUGAACUCGCUGUGAAGAUGCAGUGUACCCGCGGCAAGACGGAAAGACCCCGUGAACCUUUACUAUAGCUUGACACUGAACAUUGAGCCUUGAUGUGUAGGAUAGGUGGGAGGCUUUGAAGUGUGGACGCCAGUCUGCAUGGAGCCGACCUUGAAAUACCACCCUUUAAUGUUUGAUGUUCUAACGUGGACCCGUGAUCCGGGUUGCGGACAGUGUCUGGUGGGUAGUUUGACUGGGGCGGUCUCCUCCUAAAGAGUAACGGAGGAGCACGAAGGUUGGCUAAUCCUGGUCGGACAUCAGGAGGUUAGUGCAAUGGCAUAAGCCAGCUUGACUGCGAGCGUGACGGCGCGAGCAGGUGCGAAAGCAGGUCAUAGUGAUCCGGUGGUUCUGAAUGGAAGGGCCAUCGCUCAACGGAUAAAAGGUACUCCGGGGAUAACAGGCUGAUACCGCCCAAGAGUUCAUAUCGACGGCGGUGUUUGGCACCUCGAUGUCGGCUCAUCACAUCCUGGGGCUGAAGUAGGUCCCAAGGGUAUGGCUGUUCGCCAUUUAAAGUGGUACGCGAGCUGGGUUUAGAACGUCGUGAGACAGUUCGGUCCCUAUCUGCCGUGGGCGCUGGAGAACUGAGGGGGGCUGCUCCUAGUACGAGAGGACCGGAGUGGACGCAUCACUGGUGUUCGGGUUGUCAUGCCAAUGGCACUGCCCGGUAGCUAAAUGCGGAAGAGAUAAGUGCUGAAAGCAUCUAAGCACGAAACUUGCCCCGAGAUGAGUUCUCCCUGAGACUUAAAGUCUCCUGAAGGAACGUUGAAGACGACGACGUUGAUAGGCCGGGUGUGUAAGCGCAGCGAUGCGUUGAGCUAACCGGUACUAAUGAACCGUGAGGCUUAACCUUACAACGCCGAAG